GAUGAACGCUGGCGGCGUGCCUUAUACAUGCAAGACGAACGAAGCCUUCGGGCUUAGUGGCCGACGGGUGAGUAACACGUUGGUACCUGCCUCGAAGUGGGGAAUAACUGGCCGAAAGGUCGGCUAAUACCGCAUGUGAUCGCAAGAUCAAAGUCGUAAGACGCUUCGAGAGGGGCCUGCGUACCAUUAGCUAGUUGGUAGGGUAAUGGCCUACCAAGGCGACGAUGGGUAGCUGGAACGAGAGGUAGACCAGCCACACUGGGACUGAGAUACGGCCCAGACUCCUACGGGAGGCAGCAGUAAGGAAUCUUCCACAAUGGACGAAAGUCUGAUGGAGCAACGCCGCGUGCAGGAUGACGGCCUUCGGGUUGUAAACUGCUUUUAUAUGGGAAGAUUAUGACGGUACCAUAUGAAUAAGGACCGGCUAACUACGUGCCAGCCGCCGCGGUAA
RNAcentral lists this ribosomal RNA (451 nucleotides) under uncultured bacterium. RNAcentral's name for it is "partial 16S ribosomal RNA". It matches the Rfam family "Bacterial small subunit ribosomal RNA", at positions 28 to 523 of the family's 1533-position model. The record is from RNAcentral.